Long non-coding RNA from Ictalurus punctatus (channel catfish), 260 nucleotides. The record is from Ensembl. Lineage: Eukaryota; Metazoa; Chordata; Actinopteri; Siluriformes; Ictaluridae.
CAGUGGUAACUGAAUCAUCAUAAUGGUAUAUUGAUUGAUACUUUCUGUUACGGGUGUAAACUUCUAACAGUGUGGAAUACCACAAGAGAGUCUAAUUUGGAGGGCAUGCUCAAGCUAAUGUGCCAUUCCAUUGCAUUGUAAAUCUGUGGUGGAUCCAGAGCUUAAUCCAGGAACACUGGGCACCAACCAGGAACAUGCAAGAGAACCAGAGAACCGAAAGGAAACCCACAUGGAUACACAGAGAAAAUACGAAAUGUCAC